CGGAAUUCAACUCGAAAACAUAGUUCCGUUUGUGAUAGGUUGGUGACUCAAGAUGGAUAGCACCCACUAAGAUUUUUGACUUUAUCAUUUGUAUGGGAUUAAGUAACAGAGAAAGCGCUACACUAACUUUAUCCCGCAAAUAGGG
Molecule: long non-coding RNA, 145 nt
Organism: Maniola jurtina (meadow brown)
Lineage: Eukaryota; Metazoa; Arthropoda; Insecta; Lepidoptera; Nymphalidae
Exons: 3
Source: RefSeq, a predicted model, not a curated record